AUUGAACGCUGGCGGAAUGCUUUACACAUGCAAGUCGAACGGUAGAGGGGGCAACCCCUCGAGAGUGGCGAACGGGUGAGUAAUAUAUCGGAACGUGCCCAGUCGUGGGGGAUAACGUAGCGAAAGUUACGCUAAUACCGCAUACGAUCUAAGGAUGAAAGCGGGGGAUCGCAAGACCUCGCGCGAUUGGAGCGGCCGAUAGCAGAUUAGGUAGGUAGUGGGGUAAAGGCCCACCAAGCCAACGAUCUGUAGCUGGACUGCGAGGACGACCAGCCACAAUGGCACUGAGACACGGUCCAGAGUCCUACGGGAGGCAGCAGUGGGGAAUUUUGGACAAUGGGCGAAAGCCUGAUCCAGCCAUUCCGCGUGCAGGAUGAAGGCCCUCGGGUUGUAAACUGCUUUUGUACAGAACGAAAAGGUUUCUACUAAUACUAGGAGCUCAUGACGGCACUGUAAGAAUAAGCACCGGCUAACUACGUGCCAGCCGCCGCGGUAA
Molecule: ribosomal RNA, 496 nt
Filed under: uncultured bacterium
Lineage: Bacteria
Description: partial 16S ribosomal RNA
Rfam family: Bacterial small subunit ribosomal RNA
Source: RNAcentral